This 465-nucleotide ribosomal RNA is filed under the name uncultured bacterium. RNAcentral's name for it is "partial 16S ribosomal RNA". It matches the Rfam family "Bacterial small subunit ribosomal RNA", at positions 28 to 507 of the family's 1533-position model. The record is from RNAcentral.
GACGAACGCUGGCGGCGUGCUUAACACAUGCAAGUCGAACGGAAAGGCCCUGCUUGCAGGGUACUCGAGUGGCGAACGGGUGAGUAACACGUGGGUGAUCUGCCCUGCACUUCGGGAUAAGCCUGGUAAACUGGGUCUAAUACCGGAUAGGAGCCAUUUUUAGUGUGAUGGUUGGAAAGUUUUUUCGGUGUAGGAUGAGCUCGCGGCCUAUCAGCUUGUUGGUGGGGUAAUGGCUUACCAAAGCGGCGGCGGGUAGCCGGCCUGAGAGGGUGGACGGCCACCUUGGGACUGAGAGACGGCCCAGACACCGACGGGAGGCAGCAGGGGGGAAGAUUGCACAAUGGGCGCAAGCCUGAUGCAGCGACGCCGCGUGGGGGAUGACGGCCUUCGGGUUGUAAACUCCUUUCGCUAGGGACGAAGCUUUUUGUGACGGUACCUAGAUAAGAAGCACCGGCUAACUACGUG